AAAUAUGGUAUUGAUUCAUAACAAAGAGAGAUUAAAGAAUUGAGAAACAGUGCAGUUUAUUUCUUGAAGUUCUUUUUUUUUUUUAAGGAGAAAAUAGUAUGCUAUCUAUUUCAUUCAUUGAAAUAAUGAACUGGGCUAUAGAUGUGAGGGAACAUGGGCCUCGAGGGUUAAAAAAAAAAAAAAUUCAAUCGAUCCGGUUACCUGGCAAGAGAAGAUCCCAAAGCUUCAACAACUGCGUAAACUUAUGGACUGCUAAAACCGAAUCUAGCUGAAUCUUUCUAAAAAUCAAAUCGUUUCUGAUAUUUCAAGUGACCCACAAGCAAGCUACUAAUACGUGGUAAUAAUGCAAAUUAACAACUAAAAU
RNAcentral lists this long non-coding RNA (364 nucleotides) under Ananas comosus (pineapple). RNAcentral's name for it is "long non-coding RNA (ACOM_LNC020475)". The record is from RNAcentral. Lineage: Eukaryota; Viridiplantae; Streptophyta; Magnoliopsida; Poales; Bromeliaceae.